UUUACUUACCUCUGUUACCUUUAUUUGUGUCUGUCACUCCACUAGCCUUUCUCUAGUAACUGCCUAUUAAAGUCAAGACUCAGGUAGACUGCCUUUUCUGGAAAAAUCUUCAUUAUUCGAACUGCAUUGCUAGAGGUGAUCUUUCCACUCACACUUUACAGUCCUUUUUGCUUUAUGUAGCACCCACUAUACUAUAGCCCAUCUUGUAACUAAUUUGGAUACAUGCUAAUAGUGCCUGAAAACAACUCUUAAAUUAUUUCAUAGUCCAGGAGGAGAUCGUUCACAGAGCUGGGUCCUUAAUAGGUCUUCAGUAGAUUUCCAUUAAAGAAUGAAUAAAACCCAUUACAUAAUGUCUUAUUACCAGCCCAUAAAGAUGGAAAAUGGGGCAGCCAGCCGGCCUGGAGGAGGGCGGUGCGGUUCUGGGGCGCUGCGGACCCCUCCACCCUGGACGGCGUCCCCUCCCUGGCCCUCUCCGGCUUACCCGCCUGCCAGGCCACUCGCCCCGUAGGCUCUCGCAUCGGGGAUCGUGGGGCGAGCUGAGAGCAGGCCCGGGGAGGGUGGGCACGAGGCACCAUUCCUGUCAGGAUGAUAGAGGUACUGACAACUGACUCAGAAACUGCUGCACCAGCUAAACGCCCUGUUGGAACAGGAGUCUAGAUGUCAGCCAAAGGUCUGUGGCUUGAAGCUAAUUGAGUCUGCACAUGAUAAUGGCCUGAGAGUGACUGCAAGGCUCAGGGACUUUGAAGUAAAAGAUCUACUCGGUCUAACUCAUUUCUUCGGCUUCGACACGGAGACAUUUUCUCUAGCUGUGAAUUUACUGGACAGAUUCCUGCUAAAAUGAAGGUACAGGCAAAACAUCUUGGGUAUAUUGGACUGAGCUGCUUUUAUUUGGCUGUAAAGUCAAUAGAGGAGGAAAGGAAUGUCCCAUUGGCAACUGACUUGAUCCGAAUAAGUCAGUACAGGUUCGUGGUUUCAGACUUGAUGAGAAUGGAAAAGAUUAUGUUGGAGAAGGUGUGUUGGAAAGUCAAAGCCACUACUGCCUUUCAAUUUUUGCAACUCUAUUAUUCACUCAUUCAAGAGAACUUGCCAUUUGAAAGGAGAAAGUGUCUUAAUUUUGAAAGACUAGAAGCUCAGCUUAAGGCAUGCCACUGCAGGAUCAUAUUUUCUAAAGCAAAGCCUUCUGUGCUGGCACUGUCCAUCAUUGCUUUGGAAAUCCAAGCACUGAAGUGUGGAGAGUUAAUGGAAGAAGUAGAAUGUCUUCAGAAACAUUUCAAGGUAAAUGGCCGAGAUUUGAUGUUCUGGCAAGAGCUCAUAUCUAAGUGGUUAACUGAAUAUUCAUCAAACAAGUGUUCCAAACCAAAUGUUCAGAAGUUGAAAUGGAUUGUUUCUGGGCGGACUGCAAGACAGUUGAAGCACAGUUACUACAGAAUAACUCACCUUCCAACAAUUCCUGAGAUAGCAUCUUAAUUGGUAAAUUUGGUUGUUAUUCUUAGCCAGGCGUGGUGGCACCUGCCUUUAAUCCCAGCACUUGGGAGGCAGAGGCAGGUGGUGGGGCUACAGGGAGACCCUGUCUCAAAAAGACCAAAAAAAAAAAAAUUGAUUCUUAUUCUCUAUAUAGGGAAAAUUUACCAGUGCGAUAUUCUUUUACAAUUGAAAAAUUCAAAUAUUAUAUUCAACAUAAACAAUAUGGGAGUGAAAUAGUAAAGGGAAACAUGACUUCACUGAUCUAGUUAGCAAAUAUUUAAAAGCAGUAACUGUGUACAAGGCACAGCAUUCUUGAGGGAAAGGACUUACCCAAUUCUAAAUGUGUUGGCAAUUUCAUUAAAUUAUUAGCAUCCUCCAAUCCUGAAUUUUUAAUGCGGUACUGAAUUAGUAUUUACUAAAUUGCAUAUCAUUUCGCUGUAGCUUAUUUAAAGUUACACAAGCCCAAGUAUGACAACAAAACCAAAAGUUUGACCCAUAUUUGAAUAAGUUUGAGUUUGUUAGCGGCAAGCAAAAGUAUUAUGACUGUGAGUGCUGUACUUCAAAGAAAUAUGGUGCAGAUAGUCUGUAUGUUAGGUUUCUGGAAAUUGUUAGGGUGUCUCAACUCUAUACGUAUUUCAUUGCUAUAGCAGUUGGACUGUUAGAGAGUAAUUAUAUGCAUUAAGAACUGUAAACUUGGUCACUGGUAUGUAUACGUUUUUGCCAUCCAAAUUUCUUAAUGCACAGUAAUGAUUUGUCCUUUUUUGUUUAAAACUAAAUGUUGCUUGUGAGAUGGCUUGGCAGGAAAGGGCACUUGCAGCCAAGUCUGACAUCCUGAGUUCCAUCCCCAGGAACCACGUGGUAGAAGGAGAAAACCAAAUCCCCCAGGUUGGUUGUUGACCUCCACACGUGUGCUCCCCACCCUCACCCACACAUAAGAAAUAUAUGUUUUUAAAAAAAUUAAAAACCUAAAAGUCAACAUUUAACACAUCUAUGUAGGGUUAUGAAUCUUAGAUAUGAACAUAAAUAAUAUAAAUAUGAACAUAAAUAUGAAUAUGAAAUAAAUAUGAAUAUAAAAAUUUAAAUUAAUGAAGUUUGCAUCAAAACCAACAUUUCACAAAUGCACUUUUAAGGCAUUAUAAGGGUUAAUAUUUUAGGCAGUAAAUGGUUUCUUGGAACCCAUAAUGCAAGUAAUUGAUAAUUCAGAAAUGGAGUUUUUAUUGCCAUAUGAGAAUUACAUUUAAACUUUUAUGCAUUUUAUAUAAA
This is an RNA transcript of Nannospalax galili (Upper Galilee mountains blind mole rat), 2727 nucleotides long. It is a transcript of the gene named cyclin-G1 pseudogene, with no coding region annotated. NCBI's taxonomy places the organism in Eukaryota, Metazoa, Chordata, Mammalia, Rodentia, Spalacidae. The record is from RefSeq and is a predicted model, not a curated record. The transcript has a single exon.